GUCUUUUCGGGGACAUUUGAUAAAAUUGUAACAAUACAGAGAAGAUUAGCAUAGCCCCUACAUAAGGUUGACAUGCAUAAAUCGAGAAAUGGUCCAAAUUUUU
Molecule: small nuclear RNA, 103 nt
Organism: Pyrus x bretschneideri (Chinese white pear)
Lineage: Eukaryota; Viridiplantae; Streptophyta; Magnoliopsida; Rosales; Rosaceae
Source: RefSeq, a predicted model, not a curated record